This 253-nucleotide ribosomal RNA is filed under the name uncultured prokaryote. RNAcentral's name for it is "partial 16S ribosomal RNA". It matches the Rfam family "Bacterial small subunit ribosomal RNA", at positions 524 to 776 of the family's 1533-position model. The record is from RNAcentral.
UACAGAGGGUGCAAGCGUUAAUCGGAAUUACUGGGCGUAAAGGGCGCGUAGGCGGCCUGCUAAGUCGAACGUGAAAUCCCCGGGCUCAACCUGGGAACUGCGCUUGUGACUGCAAGGCUAGAGUACGGCAGAGGGGGGUGGAAUUCCACGUGUAGCAGUGAAAUGCGUAGAGAUGUGGAGGAACACCAAUGGCGAAGGCAGCCCCCUGGGUCGAUACUGACGCUCAUGCACGAAAGCGUGGGUAGCAAACAGG